Molecule: ribosomal RNA, 497 nt
Filed under: uncultured bacterium
Lineage: Bacteria
Description: partial 16S ribosomal RNA
Rfam family: Bacterial small subunit ribosomal RNA
Source: RNAcentral
GAUGAACGCUGGCGGCGUGCCUAAUACAUGCAAGUCGAGCGGACGGACGAGAAGCUUGCUUCUCUGAUGUUAGCGGCGCACGGGUGAGUAACACGUGUAACACCUACCUAUAUUACUGGGAUAACUUCGGGAAACCGGCUCUAAUACCGUAUAAUAUUUUGAACCGCAUGGUUCAAAGGUGAAAGACGGUCUUGCUGUCACUUCUAGCUGGAUCCCGGCUGCAUUAGCUGGUUGGUAAGGUAACGGCUUACCAAGGCGACGAUGCGUAGCCGAGCUGAGAGAGUGAUAGGCCACCUUGGAAGUGGAACAGGGACCAGAGUACUAAGGGAGGGAGCAGUAGGGAACCUUACGCAGUAGGGGGAAACAUGACGGAGCAACGCGGAGUGAGAGACAGAGGUGUUGGGUGCGGAAAGACGUGUUAUGGGGGGAAAACAGAUUUGGAAGUAACUGUGGAGAUCUUGACGGUACCUAGUCAGGAAGCACCGGCUAACUACGUG